This is a non-coding RNA of Dermacentor andersoni, 517 nucleotides long. The record is from RefSeq and is a predicted model, not a curated record. Lineage: Eukaryota; Metazoa; Arthropoda; Arachnida; Ixodida; Ixodidae.
UUGCUUGAGAGUUUCCUGCGUUUUCUGUGUUCUUUGUGUGUUUCGCUGUGACAUCUUUGGAAUAUUCCUGCGUGUUGCUCGCUUUUUAUGGACUUGUUGCCUCGAAGAUCGCCAUGAUCGCCUCCGACUCAGCGACAUCAAGGAUUCAAAAUGAGCUGGGAGAGGCCCCAGCUGGAACGGUUCACAUAGGUUGAAGGAGUGCACAUUGACAAGGUUAUUCUGGCACAGUUUACCAUGGCCUGCCAUGGUGGACCAGGAAAGUUUGCAAGGGCCUUGCUUCACCAUGUGUUCACAGAGGAGGAGCUCAUGGGCCAUUUGGGCUUUGGAAAUAACUCCAAGGGGCAAAAAAGGCUCUUUACCCCACCAGGGUCAGUGCUGUUAUAGGCUUCACGUGUUGCAAAUUGCCUGGUACCAACAUGCCCUAUGUAAAGAACUGUGGCCUCGCUUCUCGCAUGGGACCAAUAACCUCUCAAGAGCCCAAGUUGGACAGCUCAAACCAAAACACAAGUGUUGUGCU